CAGUAGCCGCGGUAAUACGUAGGGUGCGAGCGUUAAUCGGAAUUACUGGGCGUAAAGCGUGCGCAGGCGGUUGUGCAAGACGGAUGUGAAAUCCCCGAGCUUAACUUGGGAACUGCAUUUGUGACUGCACGGCUAGAGUGUGUCAGAGGGGGGUAGAAUUCCACGUGUAGCAGUGAAAUGCGUAGAUAUGUGGAGGAAUACCGAUGGCGAAGGCAGCCCUCUGGGAUAACACUGACGCUCAUGCACGAAAGCGUGGGGAGCGAACAGGAUUAGAUACCCCAGUAGUCCCUGUCUCUUAUAC
Molecule: ribosomal RNA, 301 nt
Filed under: uncultured bacterium
Lineage: Bacteria
Description: partial 16S ribosomal RNA
Rfam family: Bacterial small subunit ribosomal RNA
Source: RNAcentral